UACGUAGGGUGCAAGCGUUGUCCGGAAUUAUUGGGCGUAAAGAGCUCGUAGGCGGUUCGUCGCGUCGGCUGUGAAAACCCGGAGCUCAACUCCGGGCCUGCAGUCGAUACGGGCGGACUUGAGUUCGGCAGGGGAGACUGGAAUUCCUGGUGUAGCGGUGAAAUGCGCAGAUAUCAGGAGGAACACCGGUGGCGAAGGCGGGUCUCUGGGCCGAUACUGACGCUGAGGAGCGAAAGCGUGGGGGAGCGAACAGG
This 254-nucleotide ribosomal RNA is filed under the name uncultured bacterium. Its description in RNAcentral is "partial 16S ribosomal RNA". It matches the Rfam family "Bacterial small subunit ribosomal RNA", at positions 524 to 776 of the family's 1533-position model. The record is from RNAcentral.